ACCAAUUAUAUUAUAUUAUCACGCGUUAUUAUCAUUAGUGUUGGAACAGCAGGAGUUGGGAAGACAACUCUUGCUAAGAAAAUCUAUAAAGAUCCGGAAAUUCAAAGCAAGUAUGAGUGUCGCGCAUAGAAGAUUGAAGAAGGCUAAUGGGUGCGGUUUUUGAAUGAAGAAGAAAGCAUGGAACUACUAUGUGGCAAGGUGUUUGGUGAUUAGAUUUGCCCUCCUCAAUCGCCAAGCAUUGUGAAGGUCUUCCUCUCUUGACCGUCACCGUUGCCGGCAUCAUUUCAAUAUCCAAGCAGAGCAGAGACCUGGUCUACUGGAAUGACAUGGCGGAAAUGAGGAAUUCAGUACUUUUCCCGAGUUACGACUACUUAUCUCAAGAUCUUGAAAUCAUUUUUCUGUUUAUGGGAGUUUUUCCUCAAGAUUAUGCCACUCCCCCUUCCAAGAUCAUCAGUAUGCUCAAGGCUGAGGGGUUGCUUUCCUGGAACGAAUCGGGAUAUAUCUGAAAGAGCUAGCUUAUGACUACAGCCUUGUUUUACGCAUCUUGAAGAGCGUUGAUAAAAAUUGUUUUCACUGGCAUACUGAGUCUUGAUUAUCCCUUCAACCAUAUCCAAACUUUUCAACCUUCGAGUCUUGAUUAUCCAUCCACAUAUGAAAAUUAGACGCCGUGGAGCUCCAUCACACGUACCAAUACAAGUGUGGGGCAUGGAAAAGUUAGAGCAUAUCGAGAUAUUGGGAAAAAGCCUCGUAGCUCCAUCUCAAGCUGUUUCAUUGAAAAAGCUCACAACUCUGGUAGGGGUGAAUGCUAGUAUUUGUACUAUCUUCAAACUCUCCAAAAGAAUUCCUAAGAAUUACUAUGUGAAUAAUGAGGAUCAAUUAAUUAAGAGAGUUAGUAGCUUUGCAUAAAGAUUAUCUUUUAAAUUUUUACUGAAAAAUUGGUAUUAAUGUUGAUGACAUUGGCAAGGGGGCACAGAUGAGGAUACAGAGGCGAGCACCAACGUUAAAGAGCACGACAACCCUUUGAGGCUUUGAAUUUGCUGCUAGAGAGUGAUACACAUGUUAAUAAAAGUAUGAAUUUUCUCAACAAA
This is a long non-coding RNA of Salvia splendens (bonfire salvia), 1088 nucleotides long. RefSeq lists it as uncharacterized. NCBI's taxonomy places the organism in Eukaryota, Viridiplantae, Streptophyta, Magnoliopsida, Lamiales, Lamiaceae. The record is from RefSeq and is a predicted model, not a curated record. The transcript is spliced from 2 exons.